UACGAAGGAUGCAAGCGUUAUCCGGAUUUAUUGGGUUUAAAGGGAGCGUAGGCGGUCUUAUAAGUCAGUGGUGAAAUCUCGUUGCUUAACAACGACCGUGCCAUUGAUACUGUAGGACUUGAGUACGGUUGCCGUUGGCGGAAUGUGUCAUGUAGCGGUGAAAUGCAUAGAUAUGACACAGAACACCGAUUGCGAAGGCAGCUGACGAAACUGUAACUGACGCUGAGGCUCGAAAGCGUGGGGAUCAAACAGG
This 253-nucleotide ribosomal RNA is filed under the name uncultured bacterium. RNAcentral describes it as "partial 16S ribosomal RNA". It matches the Rfam family "Bacterial small subunit ribosomal RNA", at positions 524 to 776 of the family's 1533-position model. The record is from RNAcentral.